CGGAUAAGCCCUUACGGGGAAAGAUUUAUCGCCGAAAGAUCGGCCCGCGUCUGAUUAGCUAGUUGGUGAGGUAAUGGCUCACCAAGGCGACGAUCAGUAGCUGGUCUGAGAGGAUGAUCAGCCACAUUGGGACUGAGACACGGCCCAAACUCCUACGGGAGGCAGCAGUGGGGAAUAUUGGACAAUGGGCGCAAGCCUGAUCCAGCCAUGCCGCGUGAGUGAUGAAGGCCCUAGGGUUGUAAAGCUCUUUUGUGCGGGAAGAUAAUGACGGUACCGCAAGAAUAAGCCCCGGCUAACUUCGUGCCAGCAGCCGCGGUAAUACGAAGGGGGCUAGCGUUGCUCGGAAUCACUGGGCGUAAAGGGUGCGUAGGCGGGUCUUUAAGUCAGGGGUGAAAUCCUGGAGCUCAACUCCAGAACUGCCUUUGAUACUGAAGAUCUUGAGUUCGGGAGAGGUGAGUGGAACUGCGAGUGUAGAGGUGAAAUUCGUAGAUAUUCGCAAGAACACCCAGUGGCGAAGGCGGCUCACUGGCCCGAUACUGACGCUGAGGCACGAAAGCGUGGGGAGCAAACAGGAU
This 575-nucleotide ribosomal RNA is filed under the name Bradyrhizobium sp. RNAcentral's name for it is "bacterial SSU rRNA". It matches the Rfam family "Bacterial small subunit ribosomal RNA", at positions 170 to 778 of the family's 1533-position model. Lineage: Bacteria; Pseudomonadati; Pseudomonadota; Alphaproteobacteria; Hyphomicrobiales; Nitrobacteraceae. The record is from RNAcentral.